Molecule: ribosomal RNA, 369 nt
Filed under: uncultured soil bacterium
Lineage: Bacteria
Description: bacterial SSU rRNA
Rfam family: Bacterial small subunit ribosomal RNA
Source: RNAcentral
AGAUUGAACGCUGGCGGCAGGCCUAACACAUGCAAGUCGAGCGGCAGCACGGGUACUUGUACCUGGUGGCGAGCGGCGGACGGGUGAGUAAUGCCUAGGAAUCUGCCUGAUAGUGGGGGAUAACGUUCGGAAACGGACGCUAAUACCGCAUACGUCCUACGGGAGAAAGUGGGGGAUCUUCGGACCUCACGCUAUCAGAUGAGCCUAGGUCGAUUAGCUAGUUGGUAGGGUAAAGCCUACAAGGCUACGAUCCGUAACUGGUCUGAGAGGAUGAUCAGUCACACUGGAACUGGAGACACGGUCCAGACUCCGUACGGGGAGCAGCAGGUGGGAAUAGUUAGGACAAGUGGGACGAAAGCCUGAUACCAG